RNAcentral lists this ribosomal RNA (165 nucleotides) under uncultured bacterium. Its description in RNAcentral is "partial 16S ribosomal RNA". It matches the Rfam family "Bacterial small subunit ribosomal RNA", at positions 355 to 511 of the family's 1533-position model. The record is from RNAcentral.
UAGGGAAUCUUCGGCAAUGGACGAAAGUCUGACCGAGCAACGCCGCGUGAGUGAAGAAGGUUUUCGGAUUGUAAAACUCUGUUGGUAGAGAAGAACGUUGGUGAGAGUGGAAAGCUCAUCAAGUGACGGUAACUACCCAGAAAGGGACGGCUAACUACGUGUCAG